RNAcentral lists this ribosomal RNA (253 nucleotides) under uncultured bacterium. RNAcentral describes it as "partial 16S ribosomal RNA". It matches the Rfam family "Bacterial small subunit ribosomal RNA", at positions 524 to 776 of the family's 1533-position model. The record is from RNAcentral.
UACGAAGGGGGCUAGCGUUGUUCGGAAUUACUGGGCGUAAAGCGCACGUAGGCGGAUCGAUCAGUCAGGGGUGAAAUCCCAGGGCUCAACCCUGGAACUGCCUUUGAUACUGUCGAUCUGGAGUAUGGAAGAGGUGAGUGGAAUUCCGAGUGUAGAGGUGAAAUUCGUAGAUAUUCGGAGGAACACCAGUGGCGAAGGCGGCUCACUGGACCACAACUGACGCUGAGGCGCGAAAGCUAGGGGAGCAAACAGG